GGAUAGUAAAUAUUUAUUUGCCAAAUUAUAUCAAAUAUUAGCUUAAAUUAAUUAUCAGAAGAACAAGUAGUAAAACCUGAAAGUGACACCUCUACCACUACCACACCUUUCAAAGUACAAGAGAGAAAUAAAGGUGACAUACAUCACACGUCUCCCCUCGGCCUUUUCAUCUGAGAUUGAGAGUGUCUCCUUCCUUCCAUCCAAUCUAUUUUCUUCAAUCUUGCAGUAGUUUUGAUAAAUGAAAAAAAAUAUGCGCGCCUUGUUAUUCUGUAAGUAAAAAGAGAAAAAAAAAAAAAAUUUAAAAACUUGUUUGUUUUUCAGCGAGCAGAAACCAAACAAAAAAUCUGUGAUAAAAUACGAACCGAUGUCCAAACAUGAAAUGUCAUGUCAUGUCACCUAACUUUGUU
This 407-nucleotide long non-coding RNA is filed under the name Prunus persica (peach). RNAcentral describes it as "long non-coding RNA (PPER_LNC002866)". The record is from RNAcentral. Lineage: Eukaryota; Viridiplantae; Streptophyta; Magnoliopsida; Rosales; Rosaceae.